AUGGUGGAAAAUUGUUCUCUCACGAAUGCAAAUCGUUUAGUUUUAUUUACACACAACUGAUAUCAAUUUACUUAUCAUCAUUCUAGAAGUUCAUCGAACUACUUUGUUUAUUUUUUCUAUAAAUUCGAUAAAUUUCUGUUCCACUUAUUAUUCAAAUAAUAUUUAGUAAAGUGAAUACAAGUCAUGAUGCAAAUUAACGCAAAAUACUUACUUAUUUUAUUUGCUUGUUUAUUUACUUUGCAUAAUGAGUCAUUUGCGUGGCGACGAUUUGCUCGAGGAAGAAGUAAAUAUGGAUUAGGUGAACCGGCUUCAUCGAGAAAAUAUACUCCUUCAAAGGAUAUGUGGUUUGAACAAUACUUAGAUCAUUUUGACCCGACCAACGGAAAAACAUGGAAACAAAGAUAUUUCAUGAAUAAAGAAUAUCACAAAAACGGAGGACCUGUAUUUUUGAUGAUUGGAGGAGAAGGUGAAGCAAGUCCUCAUUGGAUGAAAGAGGGUCAAUGGAUAGAAUACGCCAAACAGUACAAUGCAUUAUGUUUUCAAUUAGAGCAUCGUUUUUAUGGCAAAAGUCGACCCACAGUGGACUUAAGUACUAAAAACUUAGUAUAUUUAUCAUCUGAACAAGCUCUUGCUGAUUUAGCAUAUUUUAUUCAAAAUAUGACCCAUUUAUAUCAAAUCCCCCAUGAUACUAAAUGGAUUGCAUUUGGUGGAUCUUAUCCAGGAUCUCUAGCAGCUUGGAUGCGUAUUAAAUAUCCUCAUUUAAUCCAUGGUGCUGUAUCUUCAAGUGGGCCAUUACUUGCUAAAAUUGACUUCCGUCAGUACUACGUUGUAGUAGAAAAUGCAUUAAAAACUCAUUCAGAUAAAUGUGUUAGUGCCGUUGCUGAUGGUAUGAACCAAAUACAAAUAAUGCUUCAUCAUGUCCUUGGUCAACAAAAUGUUGUGAAAACAUUUAAACUUUGUCAACCAUUUGAUUCUUCUAAUCCACAAAGAAAUGACGUAUCUAAUUUAUUUGAAACUUUAGCAAGCAAUUUUGCUGAAGUUGUUCAGUACAAUAAAGACAAUCGUAAAACCUCAAAAACAGCUAACAUAACAAUUGAUACUGUUUGUGAUAUUCUUGUUGAUGAGAAGAAAGGAAUUUCUGCACAGCGAUUAGCAGCUGUCAGUAAUUUAUUACUGGAAGCUAACGGCGAAAAAUGCUUAGAUUAUCAAUAUAGUAAAAUGAUAGACGAGCUUAGAAAUGUAUCUUGGGAAGCAGAAACUUCAGAAGGUGGUCGACAGUGGUUUUAUCAAACAUGUACCGAAUUUGGUUUUUUCCAAACUUCUACUGCUCGACCCGAACUUUUCAGUAAAACAUUUCCCGUUGAAUUUUUCAUUCAACAAUGUUCAGAUAUUUUUGGUCCAAAAUAUAAUUUCAAGCUAUUAGAUGAUGGAGUGGAAAGAACGAAUAUUCUGUAUGGAGGAUUAUAUCUCGAAGUUUCAAACGUUGUUUAUGUUCAUGGAUCUAUUGAUCCUUGGCAUGCAUUGGGAAUCAUAAAAUCAUCAAAUUCUGAAGCACAAGCAAUUUUCAUAAAUGGUACUGCUCAUUGUGCCAAUAUGUAUCCUGCAUCACCUAAUGACUUACCACAAUUAGUGGAAGCUCGAAAGCAAGUUGGAAAACUCAUCGGACAGUGGUUGAUGCAGAAAAAAACUCAUAAGAAAAAAUUAAAGGAAUAUUUCAGCUAAAUUGACUUGCCGCUGAUGUAGACAUUAAGGCUACACAAAUUCAAGCUUAGAAAAUGAUUAAAAAAUACCAGUAACAUCACCAAGAUCAGAGGUAUUGUCAGGAUGACGAUAAUUAUCACGAAAAGCUGGAUCGUCAAGAGUUUCUUUUCUUCGUAAAGGAUGAUGAUUAGCUUUUUGUCCAGUUGAUUCAUGAAGAUUUUCCCAAGCUUGUCUAUAAUAUCUAUUCAGUCCUCCACGACUUUCUGAUGAGCUGCUGUCGAAACUGGCAACAGUAUUACAAUCUGCAAAAAGAAAAAAAAAACAUUAAUUAAAGCAAUAGUAUCACUGCAAUCCCGCAUCGAGGUUUCCCUGGAGAAUGCGUGCGAAAUUGCGGAGAAAACAAGGCCAGUGGGAAUAUAUAUAUUUAUAAUGGAAGAAAAAGAACGUAAAUGAAAAUGCGUGCAAGAGUAGCGGGAUAAGGCGAACUACUAGUUCUAAAUAAAAAAAGUGCUCCUUUAGUGCG
This 2224-nucleotide unclassified non-coding RNA is filed under the name Chelonus insularis. RNAcentral's name for it is "putative serine protease K12H4.7, transcript variant X1". Lineage: Eukaryota; Metazoa; Arthropoda; Insecta; Hymenoptera; Braconidae. The record is from RNAcentral.